CCUACGGGAGGCAGCAGUGAGGAAUAUUUGUCAAUGGGCGCGAGCCUGAACCAGCCAAGUAGCGUGAAGGAUGACUGCCCUACGGGUUGUAAACUUCUUUUAUAAAGGAAUAAAGUGAGGCACGUGUGCCUUUUUGUAUGUACUUUAUGAAUAAGGAUCGGCUAACUCCGUGCCAGCAGCCGCGUUAAUACGGAGGAUCCGAGCGUUAUCCGGAUUUAUUGGGUUUAAAGGGCGCGUAGAUGGGUUGUUAAGUCAGUUGUGAAAGGUUGCGGCUCAACCGGAAGAUUGCAAUUGAAACUGGGAGUCUUGAGUACAGGUGGGGUAGGCGGAAUUCGUGGUGUAGCGGUGAAAUGCGUAGAUAUCGCGAAGAAC
Molecule: ribosomal RNA, 372 nt
Filed under: uncultured bacterium
Lineage: Bacteria
Description: partial 16S ribosomal RNA
Rfam family: Bacterial small subunit ribosomal RNA
Source: RNAcentral